AUUGAACGCUGGCGGCAGGCCUAACACAUGCAAGUCGAACGGUAACAGGAAACAGCUUGCUGUUUCGCUGACGAGUGGCGGACGGGUGAGUAAUGUCUGGGAAACUGCCUGAUGGAGGGGGAUAACUACUGGAAACGGUAGCUAAUACCGCAUAACGUCGCAAGACCAAAGAGGGGGACCUUCGGGCCUCUUGCCAUCGGAUGUGCCCAGAUGGGAUUAGCUAGUAGGUGGGGUAACGGCUCACCUAGGCGACGAUCCCUAGCUGGUCUGAGAGGAUGACCAGCCACACUGGAACUGAGACACGGUCCAGACUCCUACGGGAGGCAGCAGUGGGGAAUAUUGCACAAUGGGCGCAAGCCUGAUGGAGCCAUGCCGCGUGUAUGAAGAAGGCCUUCGGGUUGUAAAGUACUUUCAGCGGGGAGGAAGGGAGGAAAGUUAAUACCUUUACUCAUUGACGUUACCCGCAGAAGAAGCACCGGCUAACUCCGUG
RNAcentral lists this ribosomal RNA (490 nucleotides) under uncultured bacterium. Its description in RNAcentral is "partial 16S ribosomal RNA". It matches the Rfam family "Bacterial small subunit ribosomal RNA", at positions 30 to 507 of the family's 1533-position model. The record is from RNAcentral.